Molecule: long non-coding RNA, 1007 nt
Filed under: Equus asinus (donkey)
Lineage: Eukaryota; Metazoa; Chordata; Mammalia; Perissodactyla; Equidae
Description: lncRNA (ENSEASG00005031894.1)
Source: RNAcentral
GCAGCUGGUCUGGGGAGCUGACUUUGAGAACCGGGUUAGAGGAGCUUCAGGCCCCUGUGGUGAAGCAUGCUGCUCAUGAGAGAAAGUGGCAUUGGAGAACCUUGUCCCCUACCACAGGCACCUGGCCAAGCAGGAGGUAGUGACAGCAGUGGAGGCAAGAGCCGUGGACAAACACUAUUUCUAAGGCAGAGCCCACAGGACCUGCUGUCAGUGGAUGUGGAGGGGGUGAUGGAAAAGUUAAAUCGAGGGCGACCCUUGCACGCUGGGCUGGACAUUUGGCCCCCUUAGGUUUGAGAUGCCUGGUGGAAAACCCAAGUGGAAACGUCAAGGGGGCCAUCGGAGACCCGGGGGAGUUAUCGCCCUUUUAAUGGCUUCUGCGCCGGCCACGGUCACGCUUCGUCUUCACACCGUCGCGGCGGGGGCGGCCUCAUUCUCACCCCGCCUGCGGAGGAGGAAGCCGCCGAGGACGGGGCGAGGACCACCCUGGGUCCACGGGGCGUGUGUGGGCCGCCACUGGGCUGGAACCGUCUGGAUACGGAGCAUCAACCCUCUCUCCGGUUUCUUCCCUCUCCUCCUUCAUCCCGUUUCUGAGAUGGGGAAACUGAGGCCAGAUACCGUGUGCCACCUUCACACAGGCAGAGCAGGGGACCCCGGCCGCGCUCCCCUCAGACCCGGCGGCCCGCUCUCGUCCGGAUCCCGCCCCAACCUGGGACCCUAACAGUUCUCGUUGGGUUCGGAAGGCGGUGCAACGCGACCCGGGGUCCAGGAGACGCACCACGCUACCCUGAUUGGCGGACACCCCUGGCCCGCCCCUCCUCCUCGCCCGCCCGCCGCCGCUCCUGCGGGUCCGGAGGCCCCAUUUCCCCAGCGCCGCCAGCGCCCAGCCUCCUCCGGUCUCCACGGCGACGCCGCGCUGGCUCCUCCUUCUCCCGGCCUAGGCCCACCGCCUCCCUGUCAGCAGUCUGCGCAUGCUCGGAGCCCGCGCGCGGGCCAAUCGGAAGCCCCCC